This 73-nucleotide transfer RNA is filed under the name Ailuropoda melanoleuca (giant panda). It matches the Rfam family "tRNA". From Rfam's summary of the family: Transfer RNA (tRNA) molecules are approximately 80 nucleotides in length. Their secondary structure includes four short double-helical elements and three loops (D, anti-codon, and T loops). Lineage: Eukaryota; Metazoa; Chordata; Mammalia; Carnivora; Ursidae. The record is from Rfam by way of RNAcentral.
ACCCGGCAGGCUCCGUCGGUAGAGCGUGUGACUCUCGAUCUCGGGGUUGUGAGUUCGAGCCCCACACUGGGUG